AAAAAAAAAACAAUUGGAGUCAGCUCCUUCUCUGUUGCUUGUGUCGCCCCCACACAACUGAAAACGUGGAAAUCCAGUGCCUUAUCCUAACAAGAAGACCCUAAUCUCACCAGAGUUGCAUAUCCAAUCUCUAGUUAGUCGGUGAUUAGUUAAGAUUGGUGUCUCCGAUCCGCAUCCACGGCAUCAUAUUCUGCCUAUAUAUGCGCUCUCCCGCUGAUACUUGCGAAGUUUGCUAGUAGUACGUACAUACACAUCGUUCUAGCUCUCUUCGCCGUUCACGAUGGCGAGAGCACUCCUGGAGUCCGCAGGCGGCGCCGCGGCCGCGCCGGGCUUCCUGCAGCCUUGGCUCGCGGCGCUCGGCAUGGUAGUGGCGUCGGUCUGGGUCGUCUCGUUCGCGGUGUUCCUCUGCGGCCGCAGAAGCUCCCACGACGACGACUACGGCGUCCCCAGGAAGAAGCCCGCCACUGCUGCCACGGCCCCGAAGGGGAGCAGGCCGGCGAGCAUCGCGCCCACUAAGGUGAGGUCGUCGAGGN
RNAcentral lists this long non-coding RNA (533 nucleotides) under Hordeum vulgare. Its description in RNAcentral is "long non-coding RNA (HVUL_LNC013391)". The record is from RNAcentral. Lineage: Eukaryota; Viridiplantae; Streptophyta; Magnoliopsida; Poales; Poaceae.